Molecule: long non-coding RNA, 7363 nt
Filed under: Paramuricea clavata
Lineage: Eukaryota; Metazoa; Cnidaria; Anthozoa; Malacalcyonacea; Plexauridae
Source: RNAcentral
GACUUUGGGGGCGGGUUUUGGCGGGAAAAUCUGUAAUGUUUGGAGAAGACAAGAUGGCGCUGGUUACCUCGUGUCAUAUCAAAGGGCAUUUUUGUUCACAAAUACCCAUUUAUUUUACGUUGUAGCGACUGGUUAGUUUUGGAAAUUAUAACUCAAUGGACGGGGAAAACGAUUCUGUAUUAAAGAGAAAAAGAUGUGCAGUUAUUGUGAUGUUAUUUGUUGUGAAAGACGGCCCGAAAUUUCGCUACAUCGCAGUACUGGUUUAUAAAACAUUUACAAGCAACAACAAUUGAACUAUAUGACAAAGAAACAAGCCAAUCAAGUUCUUCAGUUUAAAGGUCAGUUUACUUUUUAAUAAUUAGUUCAUUUAGUUGUAUAUUAAUACGAAUUACGAAAUAUUGGAUACUAGUAAAAACUUUUUACGAAGUGGCUAAUCGCCUAAUCGUACUGGAACAGUACGCCGAGUGUGAUUUGCUAUUCGUACUGCAAUCGUAAUAUUUAAGAUAAACCCUUCUCUAACCCUAACCAAUAAAGCCCUAAUAAACUAUUUGAAAGUUUUUUAUUUCGAGAAAAAAAAUUUUAAAAUAUUUUAAGAAAAAUUUCUAAGCCAAACAGACAACCGACGGCUAAAACUAAACCCAGACCCGACCUCGUUUCACUUCGCACGCACGCAACGCCUUUGCUGAAAUAUCCACUACCAGCCUGAAUUGCUGAAAGCUAUUGCAAAAAACUAUUUUAGGGCACAUAAAAAAAUAGUUGGUUAGCGUCCUUAGCUUUUGCCAAAAAGUGGGCGGGCGGACGCUCUUUUUUUUUUUCAACGCCUUGGUUUUAGGUCCGAAACUGGAUUUUCAUGUGCAGUACAGAUAUUUUUUAUAUAUUUCAAAAUAUGAUUCAUACCGUCAUUUUUUCACACAAUUUCGCCACUUAUUAACACAAUUGACUACAGUCGACAGAAAUACUACAUAUAUUAGAGCCUGUUGAUCAGUAAAAGUUGGGGUUUUUUUAAAUAAAAAAAUCCUGAGCGGGGCCUUUUUUGUGGGCGGGCGAGGACGCUAACCAACUAUUUUUUUUUAUGUGGCCUUAUAUUACUACUUUACAAAAUGUAAGAAUCGGGUAGCCUGCUCACAGACAUUGUUAUUCUUACGCCAAGUGACGAAUUACUACCGUCUGCUUACCCAAGCGCCAAACUGAAUUCCAUUACGUCGACCAAUCAGAAUUUACCUUCCAAAUUCUGGAAAGUGACUUCAGUUGAUUUAGGAGUGGAAUAAAUAUAAAUGUAUAGGUUGAAUUUUGCUCAAAAUUGCACAUAAAUUGAAUUUAAAGAUACUUGUCCAGGUAAUAAAAUGCACCAUUAAUUAAUGAUCAUAUUUGGAUAUUAAAGAUGUUCGGUUAUAUUUAAAACGUGGACAAGAUUGGCAUAUUUAAUAUAAUGUAUGAAGCCAAACAGGCGAGACAGCAUCAAAAGCCGAAUAUAUUUCGCUGAAAUUUGAACUUUUGACGGAUGUUUAUCUUUAUAAGACAACAGAACUCGGAAGACAGAAAAUUUGAUAUAAUACUGUGGCAAAAUAUUAGCUUCAAAGUAAACUAAUUGUGCCGUGAUGAAUUUUCCAAUUCGCCCAAACUUUGAAAUGUUUAUACUCUAACUUGGCUAUACUUUUCUACAUGACAAUGAGAGCUUAAUCUUUUAGAAGUUUUCGUCAAAGUCAUGGCAUAUAGGAAGUAUCAAGAGCAACAUUUGGACAUAUCCUGAUAUACUCGAGUUUCCCGAUUGAUUGUUUGUCAUUGACAUUGUUAACAAAAAUUUAAAUUUUGCCUACUGCAUUGCUCUAGCACUUUAUAUACACCAAUUGUUUGCUCAACAUGCGAGAAGAUGAUCACAAUAUUAUUCUAUGUAAACAUCGUAAAGUUCAACGCUAUAGUUUCCAAAAUAUAUCCACACACAAGUAACAAAUUUCAAGUUUCAAUGCAAACAAUAUAUUCCAAUGCAUGUGCAAGGGCUUUCCCCAGUAGCUAAUCUCUCAAUAAGGUGGCUUCCAAUUGGCUCUAACUCUUUUGAACACUGCCAGAUGAUUGGCUCCUAAAACAAAGGGAAUUGAAUAUGCAGCUCGGGUAAGCAGACGGUAGUAAUUCGUCGUUUGGCAUAAGAAUAACAACGUCUGUGAGCAGGCUAAGAAUCGGGUGCCAUACUUCAGUACGAUUAUUGGGUCAUACUAAUUACCGACAAUUACUAAUAACAAGCACGCAAUUACCGGCAACAAGUAGGGGUGCACCUGAUUUGGAAUUUUCAUAUCUGGCUGGAACCGAUUUUGGGCAAAAAUUCCGGCCGGAUUUGAGAUAAACCAGUAAUGGUCCCAAUUGGGUAUAAAUUGUGAUAAUUCAGUAUUAUGUUUUUUACUAUUUUUAGUUAGUGUCAGUUUAGAUUUUUGAUUGUGUUUAAACCUUUUUUAAAUAUAUUUUUGUUAAUAACUUAAUAUUUUAUAAUAAUAUAAGUGUUUUUUAAACUUUAAAGCUGCCAAAUUGAUGGCUUACCCCAUUCUUGAAUAUUUUGAGGUGAAAACAGAAAUUUAAAUCCGGCCGGAUUUUGUCCAAAUCCGGCUGGAUGGCCGGAAAAUUUGUUAAAUCCGGUGCACCCCUAACAACAAGCACACAAUUACCGACAACAAGCUGAAAAAUACGGACAACAAGCAAAUACAUACUUUCAUUGUAUUCUUAUAGUUAUUUGGUUGUUUUUGAGGAAACCCAAAAUAUAUAAGUUUGACAGAUUUUGUCAAACAUUGUUGAGUUAAAACAUUCUGCUAUUAAAGAUGAUGGAUUCACGUAGGCAGACACCAUAUAAAAGUAUAGAUAGGAAACGAAAUUUCAAGUAGAAAAUCAGUAUUAACUAACCUAUUAUCUAUAAUAAUAUAACUACCAACUUCUAUAAAGUGUGUAUGCGUAUAAUGUGUCUAAAAUGUUUAAUAGUAACAAACAGAAACAAGCUAUAAAUUAUUUACAUCAAUUCAUACAGCCAUGCAUUCAUACAAAUAACUAUAAGAAUACAAUGAAAGUAUGUAUUUGCUUGUUGUCGGUAUUUUUCAGCUUGUUGUCGGUAAUUCAAAUUGUGAGCUUGUUGUAGCAGUAAUUAUGUGCUUGUUGUCAGUAAUUUGCUGCUUGUUGUCGGUUGUUGAUGGUAGUUGUUAGUAUGACCACGAUUAUUAGUUCAAUCGAAAAAUCAUUUAUAUUUUCACAUUUGGAAUUUUUUACGAUUGAUCACGAAGAUCAGCGGAUAUUUCUAUACGCUUUCUAGAUAUACUAUUGAAUUUUCCAAACUUUCCAGUCAGGCAAAGUUCCACCCCACACCAUGGAAUUUCAUUUCAGCACCCUAUAUCAUUCUAGAAUACCUUUAUUAAUCAUUUCAGCAACUUCGGCUAGCUUGCGUUGUUUUUGCUAAAUACUGCUCACAGGCUGUUGUCCAAGGGGGGCACCCUCAGUCAUUAACCCCCUUGCCACAUUGCAACAUUAACAAAACAAUCAACCCCACUGCCUCAAAACUCUCUGCCCCUGUCAUACAGCAACCUCCUAGCCAUCUUUAACAACAGAUGUCGAAGAUGUCUACACAAUGCGAUGUUUGCUUAUGAUUGUUGUAUGCAACUUGCUGACCCCAUCCCUGCGACUUUGUGUCGUCUUUCUAUACAGUACGAUUAUUGUAUGUGUCAUUUCCAACCGAGAGAUAUAUUAGACCCUCUUUCUACUUUUUUUUACUUUGCCUUGUUCACAUUUUGAACAGGAAGCGUACCAAUUUCGCUUUCUCUCGUUGAUGUCCGCCAUUUUGAACUAUUUUUUCAUAUCUACACGGCACGAUUUGCGUCGCAGGGAUGGUGUCAGCAAGUUGCAUACAACAAUUGUAAGCAAAAAUCGCAUUGUGUAGAUGGUCCUUAAAAGGCAUUGAACCAGACUAGUUUGAUAUACCAACAACUUUUUCCGCUUCCGAUACCAAAUUUCCCAAUUUUGAAACACCCCUUGGAGAAUAUAAUUCCCUCGAUACAAUGCAGGUGGUUUUAGCUCCAUUUUUUUAAGCAUUUUAUAAAGUGUAUGCUAUGUACAUGCUAUGAAGCUAGUUUUGUUGGCAUGCUUUUUUUGAAAAUUUCAGCGGCCAUGUCGGCAGGUACAAAACGCAGGUUGCAGGUUGGAUUUUUUAAGCAUUUUAUAAAGUGUAUGCUAUGUACAUGCUAUGAAGCUAGUUUUGUUGGCAUGCUUUUUUUGAAAAUUUCAGCGGCCAUGUCGGCAGGUACAAAACGCAGUAUUGCAGGUUGGAAUUUUGCAGGUUGGAAUUUUGCAGGUUGGAAUUUUGCAGGUUGGAAUUUUGCAGGUUGGCGAAUUUUGCAGGUUGGAAUUUUGCAGGUUGGGGAUUUUGCAGGUUGGAAUUUUGCAGGUUGAUAAUGCGAGCUUAAAAUUACACCACUUUUUAGUAUUCUAGUAUAAUUUAGUUGUGCAUUUAUUGCAGUCUGACUCCUUGUCGGCGCCUCUGCUCUAAGGCUAGUGGCCAUCACCCCUGUGAAAACAUUCAAAAUGACCAGAUUGGCUUGGACCUACAGGGAGACGAAUGCAGGGGUGUAGGAACCGGGGGGCCAGGGGGGCCUGCCCGCCCCCCAAGUUUUACCAAGUGCCCUUUUUCCGGGAGCAAAGUGCCCUUUUUUGUGUUAAAAAUGUUUUAAGGAUUGCUUAUUUUUGCCCAAAGCGCACUUUUCGAAACUUGAAUUUAUGUUAUUUUCUGGAAUAUUUUUUUCAUUUUGGGAAAAAAUAUGAUGUCCGAAAAAAAAUUUUGUGUUUCCGGAAAUUUUUUUUCAUAUUUAGGAAAAUUGGAUAUAUCUGGAAAUAUUUUUUUGGUAUGUCCGGAAAAAAAUGUUGAGACCUCCCCCCUUCCCACCCCCGUCGCCAACAUUUCCGGGAAAAAAUUUUUAGAUGCCCUUUUUUAUUCGGAAAGUGCCCCUCAAAGCCUGCCCCCCCCCCAACUUUUAGAAGCUUCCUACGCCCCUGGACAAAUGUUUUGAUUGUUGCGAGGUGCCUACAUGAUGUGGCGGCGUUUAUACUAGAAUGUUGUUAAAAGUUAACUAACUCUCGAGUAAUGAUACGGUAAUUGGGGGCUUGAGUGGUCUCAUAAGUGGGUGCAGAGGAGAGACACCUCAUUCAGGCAUUUUCUGAACUGCCACCACGUCAUGUAGGCUCCUCGCAACAAUCGAAACAUUCGUCCCCCUGAAGACCCGAGCCAAUCUGGUCAUUUUGAAUGUUUUCACAAGGGUGAUGAGCAGAGGCUAGAAACAUGGUAGCAGGAUAGGCUGAUAUCAAAAGCGGCGACAAGGAGUCAGACUGCAAUAAGUACAAAAUAAAAUUAUACUAGAAUACUUUAUAGUAGUGUAAUUUUCAGUUUGCAUCAUCAACCUGCAAAAUUCCUGUCAACCUGCAAAAUUCCAACCUGCAAAAUCCCCAACCUGCAAAAUCCCCAACCUGCAAAAUUCCAACCUGCAAAAUCCUACUUUAUAGUAGUGUAAUUUUCAGUUUGCAUCAUCAACCUGCAAAAUUCCUGUCAACCUGCAAAAUUCCAACCUGCAAAAUCCCCAACCUGCAAAAUCCCAACCUGCAACCUGCAACCUGCGUUUUGUACCUGCCGGCGGCCAUGUUGUUCAAGCCAAAACAAGCUAGGUUAAACCCAUCAUGGAUUGUAAAAUAACAUUUAUUUUAUUAUCCAUGGUUAUAUGAACAGGCUUUUUCCAGGAUUUUCUCUUGGGUCCGUUUUUGCAGAGAAGAUUGAGUUUAGCUGAACAGUUGGGGUGGCUGCACCCCCCCCCCCCCCCCCCCCCCCCAAUAAAUGUAAUUGAGACUGAAUGUGUUAAAGCAAGGACACUAUAAACUUAAAGAUGGCUUGUCAGGCUUCCAACUGAAAACUAAUUCCGACACGUCACAAAUUUUAUAACUCAAACAACUUCAUUUUUACUGCACUGAAACUUUGGUGAGAAGAUUGAGUUUCAAAACUCAAUUCAGGAUUGAGUUAAAAAAUAUCCCUGAAAAAAACCCUGAUGAAGUAAGGUUUGAAUGUAAAAAAUGACUUUCUAUUCAGUUCUGUAUACAGUUCAGUGGCGCAGACAACUUCAGAUUAUCGCCCGAAGACCUGGGAACGAACUUGCCGAAGAGCAUGCAUAAGCAUAAAUUAUGAAAUAAAUUAAUGAGGUUGAUUUAAGGUGGCUCCCUACAGUUAGUACAGUUUAAAUACGAUUUAUAUAGAUCAGACUUCAUCCUUGCGACCUGCACGUGGAAUCGUCGUGUUUACUGUUCGGCAAAAAUAUUGAAACAAGCUGCGGGAAGUUUUUUGGCGUUUUUAUCUACAAAGAAAGCUCCAGUUUUUCAUUAUAAUGUUUUCUUCGGUGAAAUUUUUUUAAACUUUGUAUUUUUGUUAUACAAGACGAGUAGUACAACAUAUCCAAAUUUUAAGAAAUUCUACAAAUAAUUUUUUCUGUAACCGUCAUUCACGAAUAUCUCGAAAACUUAUUUGUAAAUUCCCUUCAAAUUUUGAUAUGUUUUUCCUUUCUGGGCCAUAAAUUUUCAAAAAAAAUUCAGAAAACUUCACCAAAGGAAAAUAUAGAUAUUGUCAAUUUAUUGUGAAAUUAGACAAUAAAAGUGCAAAAGAUUAAACAUCAUGGUUGCCAUGGCAACACGAACACUGUUCUAAUUUGUUCAUAAAUGGACAGCACACAGCUUCUGAACUUUCCUUGAAAUGAUCAUAUUGCCUUGUCUUAAGUGUAUCUAAUAUAAAUUCGGUUCAAAGCGAACGUUACUCAAAAUACCUAGAAUUUUAGAGAACUGUAGCGAAGCUAAAAGUAGCGAAAAGCGAAGUAGCUAAAAGUAGCGAAGCUAAAUAAAAGAGAUUAAAAUUGGAUUUAGUGCGUAUAUUUGAAAAAAAUUACCACCAAGUAUGGUCUCCCCCCCCCCCCCGUUCACAACACUUGUGACGUCAGUUACAUACGGGACUUCGGGGCGGGUUUUGGCGGGAAAAUCUGUAAUGUUUGGAGAAGACCAGUGGAGAAGACAAGAUGGCGCCGGUUACCUCGUGUCAUAUCAAAGGGCAUUUUUGUUCACAAAUACCCGCUUAUUUUACGUUAUAGCGACUGGUUAGUUUUGGAAAUUGUAACUCAAUGGACGGGGAAAACGAUUCUGUAUUAAAGAGAAAAAGAUGUGCAGCUAUUGUGAUGUUAUUUGUUGUGAAAGACGGCCCGAAAUUUCGCUACAUCGCAGUACUGGUUUAUAAAACAUUUACAAGCAACAGCAAUUGAACUAUAUGACAAAGAAACCAAUAUAUACAAGCCAAUCAAUUUCUUCUGUUUAAAGGUCA